UUCGGACAAUGGGCGCAAGCCUGAUCCAGCCAUGCCGCGUGUGUGAAGAAGGCCUUCGGGUUGUAAAGCACUUUCAGCNNGGAGGAAGGNCNGNAGGUUAAUACCUUGNUGNNUUGACGUUACCCACAGAAUAAGCACCGGCUAACUCCGUGCCAGCAGCCGCGGUAAUACGGAGGGUGCAAGCGUUAAUCGGAAUUACUGGGCGUAAAGCGCGCGUAGGUGGUUNGUUAAGUCGGAUGUGAAAUCCCCGGGCUCAACCUGGGAACUGCAUUCGAAACUGGCGAGCUAGAGUAUGGUAGAGGGNGGUGGAAUUCCNGGUGUAGCGGUGAAAAUGCGUAGAGAUCGGGAGGAACACC
RNAcentral lists this ribosomal RNA (356 nucleotides) under gamma proteobacterium SCGC AAA024-E11. RNAcentral describes it as "partial 16S small subunit ribosomal RNA". It matches the Rfam family "Bacterial small subunit ribosomal RNA", at positions 363 to 710 of the family's 1533-position model. Lineage: Bacteria; Pseudomonadati; Pseudomonadota; Gammaproteobacteria. The record is from RNAcentral.